This 433-nucleotide ribosomal RNA is filed under the name uncultured bacterium. RNAcentral's name for it is "bacterial SSU rRNA". It matches the Rfam family "Bacterial small subunit ribosomal RNA", at positions 958 to 1391 of the family's 1533-position model. The record is from RNAcentral.
AACGCGAAGAACCUUACCUGGUCUUGACAUCCACAGAACUUUCCAGAGAUGGAUUGGUGCCUUCGGGAACCGUGACACAGGUGCUGCAUGGCUGUCGUCAGCUCGUGUUGUGAAAUGUUGGGUUAAGUCCCGCAACGAGCGCAACCCUUAUCCUUUGUUGCCAGCGAUUCGGUCGGGAACUCAAAGGAGACUGCCGGUGAUAAACCGGAGGAAGGUGGGGAUGACGUCAAGUCAUCAUGGCCCUUACGGCCAGGGCUACACACGUGCUACAAUGGCGCAUACAAAGAGAAGCAAUCUCGCGAGAGCUAGCGGACCUCAUAAAGUGCGUCGUAGUCCGGAUUGGAGUCUGCAACUCGACUCCAUGAAGUCGGAAUCGCUAGUAAUCGUGAAUCAGAAUGCCACGGUGAAUACGUUCCCGGGCCUUGUACACACC